CGGGACGGGUGGGGGAUAAUGUCUGGGAAACUGCCUGAUGGAGGGGGAUAACUACUGGAAACGGUAGCUAAUACCGCAUAACGUCGCAAGACCAAAGAGGGGGACCUUCGGGCCUCUUGCCAUCGGAUGUGCCCAGAUGGGAUUAGCUAGUAGGUGGGGUAACGGCUCACCUAGGCGACGAUCCCUAGCUGGUCUGAGAGGAUGACCAGCCACACUGGAACUGAGACACGGUCCAG
This 236-nucleotide ribosomal RNA is filed under the name uncultured bacterium. Its description in RNAcentral is "partial 16S ribosomal RNA". It matches the Rfam family "Bacterial small subunit ribosomal RNA", at positions 100 to 334 of the family's 1533-position model. The record is from RNAcentral.